UGGGCCGGUCGAUGUUCCGCGUGUGCGACAAAAACAGACGCCAAAAUGGCAUUUUAACAAUUAAAUUGGUGAUAAACAGUUGAGUGAAGUGUUCUAAUAUAUCCCACGGAUACCCUUUCAACAAAUUAAUCUGUCUAAUGGCAAAUAUUCGUGCUAUUUGUGUCGGUGUACAUGGUAGUGUGUCGAGGACAAAGAACUGCCCGUUGAACAGCAUGCUAAAUCACCAUUGUUGGAGUAUUCUGUUACUAAAAAUCGGCUGAGUGAUUUUUUCUUUGAUAAUUAACAAUUGAUAGUGGAUUUUACGGUGAAUGUGACUGAGAAUUUUCAGACGUUUGACGAUUUUUCGUGCAGUGUUGUGGGAAUUUUUGUCCGUGGCGUAAACACCGGCUCUCAGUGUUGUGUGAGAGAGACAAAAUAUGAACAUCCUAUGAGCUAGACAGUAACAACUGCAUGUGUGAGUUUUUUAUGGAUUAAUUAGUGAAAAAUAUCGGUGUAGUGAUAAAAGUGUGUGGUUGGAGAUAUCUGCGAAAGUGAGAAAUUCCUGGUAUUGACGGUGUUUGGAGCAGGGACAACAAAAGGCGGAGGAGUAAUCUGGAGAGGAGGUGGAUGGAGAAAUCUUGCUGGUGGAGAUGGUGUGCGAUCUCAAUUAGUCGUCCGUAUGCUAAUUGCCACCGACACUUCCUUGAUUAAUUUCACCGAUUGAACCCAACUGGCACGAUUAAUUGGCUACGAUACCUCCUGAAUUGAAAAUGAAGGAUUAUUAUCUGUUGGACUGGUGGGAAAUCGGGAAAAGUAACAGCCCCUGAUCAAUCGCUAUAUGCAGCUGUUUAUUUUUCAUCUUUAUUAUGGAAAGGUGAGAUGAAGAUAGUCCUCUUUUGGUCAAGUGGAAAAAUUUACAUCUCCUAAUGCUGCCUGAGAAUUUUAUUGGAGUUGAAGAGAUCGUUUUAAACCGGAAAUUGAUUGGAGUAAGAUGUAUCGAGAGACUUGGAUUAAUUUAAAUCAAUUAUAUCCCGAUUCCAGCUAAUUCCAGUUAUAAAAAAAAAGCUAUUGCGCAAGUCGGGAUUAUGUUCGCUAAACCUUUCUAGAAUGCUUUAAUUAGUUGGAAAAAAUUGGCACGAGAAUGAAAGCGAUGCUUUUCACCCAGGUUGAGUUGAUUAACCUCCAGGACGAUCCUCGUGAUGGUAUGCAACCCAAGGCAAAUGGUAAAUAUAUAUAGACCGUGUAAAAAGAAGGAAGGAUGAAACGAAUGGAGGAAAAAAACGCGAGGCCACGGUGAUCGUUCUCUUCCUGUCGAUCGAUAUACGAGAGAGCUCCAUCGAGCAGCUUACAUAAUUGCCCGAUUGUCGUUUCGUUUACACAAAAAAAAAAUGAAAUAUAAAAAAAUAUAACACGAUAAACGACUUUCUGUGACAAAACACUUGGAAUUCAAAUGCACGCCUGACGAUUCAACUAUAUUCGUUAACAUAAUUGCUGUGUUAUGACCUUUAAGUGAGAGUUUAAAUAUAGGACUUGGGAUGGGAGGCAGUCCAUUUGUCUCAGUUGAAUGUUUCAUUGGCGGAAUUGAAGUGCAACAACCAACUGUCUGAUCUCGGUAUCAUGCUGCGAUGUGACCCAUCAUAAAUUCAUGAGAGGAUUGAGUUACUCCGGGUGAUGAUUUUGUGGAAAACUAGAUGGAUUUCUGGGAAAAGCCAUUCUUAACACCAACAUCUGGGAGAUUGCAUUUCGCAGAAAUUUGAGGAUUAUUAACGAGAGAUGAAUUCAGAGAAGAAUUUCAUCUCAAAAUUUGCUCCCUCUAAAUCCCAAGAAUGACAUGAAAAGGGAGUGCGGAUCUGAGGUAAAUAAUCAAGUAGAAUAAAAUCCUAUCAACGGUA
Molecule: long non-coding RNA, 1871 nt
Organism: Fopius arisanus
Lineage: Eukaryota; Metazoa; Arthropoda; Insecta; Hymenoptera; Braconidae
Exons: 3
Source: RefSeq, a predicted model, not a curated record